RNAcentral lists this unclassified non-coding RNA (363 nucleotides) under soil metagenome. RNAcentral's name for it is "partial contains 5.8S ribosomal RNA, internal transcribed spacer 2, and large subunit ribosomal RNA". The stretch from base 1 to 120 matches the Rfam family "5.8S ribosomal RNA", at positions 35 to 154 of the family's 154-position model. The record is from RNAcentral.
GAUGAAGAACGCAGUGAAAUGCGAUAAGUAGUGUGAAUUGCAGAAUUCCGUGAAUCAUCGAAUCUUUGAACGCACAUUGCGCCCCCUGGCAUUCCUAGGGGCAUGCCUGUUCGAGCGUCAUUAACAACCAUCAAGCGGGACCUGUCUGCCUCGCUUGGCCAUGGGGGAUGGCCGCCCUCGGGGCGCCCACCCCCGAAAUACAACGGCGGACAGCCACCACGGGGCACCCGGGCGUAGUAAGUUGCUCUCUCGCCCGCGCCCACGGAAUGGACUGUCCGGCCGGUCGAACCCCCAACAUCCAAUGGUUGACCUCGGAUCAGGUAGGGAUACCCGCUGAACUUAAGCAUAUCAAUAAGCGGAGGA